RNAcentral lists this ribosomal RNA (767 nucleotides) under uncultured Candidatus Poseidoniales archaeon. Its description in RNAcentral is "bacterial SSU rRNA". It matches the Rfam family "Archaeal small subunit ribosomal RNA", at positions 1 to 776 of the family's 1478-position model. Lineage: Archaea; Methanobacteriati; Thermoplasmatota; Candidatus Poseidoniia; Candidatus Poseidoniales. The record is from RNAcentral.
UUCCGGUUGAUCCUGCCAGAGGCGACCGCUUUUGGAGUUCGAUUAAGCCAUGCGAGUAGAAAGAAAUUAGAUUCUUUGCAAACUGCUCAGUAACACGUGGAUAACCUGCCCUAUGCUCCGGAAUAACCUCGGGAAACUGAGAAUAAUACCGGAUAGAUCACAACGCCUGGAACGGUGUGUGGUUCAAAGGUCACGGCAUAGGAUGGGUCUGCGGCGUAUCAGGUCGUAGGGGGUGUAACGGACCUCCUAGCCAUCGACGCGUACGGGUGUUGGGAGACAUAGCCCGGAGAUGGAUUCUGAGACACGAAUCCAGACCCUACGGGGUGCAGCAGGCGCGAAAACUUCACACUGCAGGAAACUGUGAUGAGGGAACUCCAAGUGCGCGCACUUAGUGUGCGCUUUUCUUGACUAUUAAUCGGUCAUGGAAUAAGGGCUGGGAAAGACCGGUGCCAGCCGCCGCGGUAAUACCGGCAGCUCAAGUGGUCGUCGCUUUUAUUGGGCCUAAAACGUCCGUAGCCUGUUUGGUAAAUCUGUGGGUAAAUCAACCAGCUUAACUGGUUGAAUUCUGCAGAGACUGCCAGACUAGGGACCGGGAGAGGUGUGGGGUACUCUAGGGGUAGGGGUAAAAUCCUGUCAUCCUUAGAGGACCACCAGUUGCGAAGGCGCCACACUGGAACGGAUCCGACGGUCAGGGACGAAGCCUAGGGGCACGAACCGGAUUAGAUACCCGGGUAGUCCUAGGUGUAAACGCUGUGAACUUGGUGUCG